RNAcentral lists this transfer RNA (94 nucleotides) under Aeromonas phage Ahp1_CNU-2021. It matches the Rfam family "tRNA". Rfam says of the family: Transfer RNA (tRNA) molecules are approximately 80 nucleotides in length. Their secondary structure includes four short double-helical elements and three loops (D, anti-codon, and T loops). Lineage: Duplodnaviria; Heunggongvirae; Uroviricota; Caudoviricetes; Pantevenvirales; Straboviridae. The record is from Rfam by way of RNAcentral.
GGAAGCGUGGCAGAGUCCGGCUUAUUGCAACUGACUUGAAAUCAGUCGACGGUGGCAAUCCCAUCGUCCGUGGGUUCAAAUCCUACCGCUUCCG